This 89-nucleotide transfer RNA is filed under the name Deltaproteobacteria bacterium ADurb.Bin207. Its description in RNAcentral is "tRNA-Leu". It matches the Rfam family "tRNA". Rfam says of the family: Transfer RNA (tRNA) molecules are approximately 80 nucleotides in length. The record is from RNAcentral. RNAcentral also lists the same sequence under 1 other name. Lineage: Bacteria; Deltaproteobacteria.
GGCCCCCUGGCGAAAUUGGCAUACGCGGCGGGCUUAAAACCCGCUGCCGUUCACACGGCGUACCGGUUCGAACCCGGUGGGGGCUACCA